GACGAACGCUGGCGGCGUGCUUAACACAUGCAAGUCGAACGGAGCUAUUUAUUUCGGUAGAUAGCUUAGUGGCAAACGGGUGAGUAACGCGUAGGCAACCUGCCCUCAGGAUGGGGACAACGGCUCGAAAGAGCCGCUAAUACCGAAUGACGUAACUCUUCCACAUGGAAGAGAUACUAAAGAUGGGUCAAACCAUCGCCUAAGGAUGGGCCUGCGUCUGAUUAGCCAGUUGGUGAGGUAACGGCUCACCAAAGCGACGAUCAGUAGCCGGUCUGAGAGGAUGAACGGCCACAAUGGGACUGAGACACGGCCCAUACUCCUACGGGAGGCAGCAGUGGGGAAUCUUCCGCAAUGGGCGAAAGCCUGACGGAGCAACGCCGCGUGAGUGAAGAAGGUCUUCGGAUCGUAAAGCUCUGUUGUCGGGGACGAAGAGUAGACGAGGAAAUGCGUCUACUAAGACGGUACCCGACG
RNAcentral lists this ribosomal RNA (471 nucleotides) under Veillonellaceae bacterium oral taxon 155. Its description in RNAcentral is "bacterial SSU rRNA". It matches the Rfam family "Bacterial small subunit ribosomal RNA", at positions 28 to 484 of the family's 1533-position model. Lineage: Bacteria; Bacillati; Bacillota; Negativicutes; Veillonellales; Veillonellaceae. The record is from RNAcentral.